Molecule: ribosomal RNA, 500 nt
Filed under: uncultured bacterium
Lineage: Bacteria
Description: partial 16S ribosomal RNA
Rfam family: Bacterial small subunit ribosomal RNA
Source: RNAcentral
AUUGAACGCUGGCGGAAUGCUUUACACAUGCAAGUCGAACGGCAGCACGGACUUCGGUCUGGUGGCGAGUGGCGAACGGGUGAGUAAUACAUCGGAACGUGCCCAAUCGUGGGGGAUAACGUAGCGAAAGCUACGCUAAUACCGCAUACGAUCUAAGGAUGAAAGCGGGGGAUCGCAAGACCUCGCGCGAAUGGAGCGGCCGAUGGCAGAUUGGGUAGUUGGUAGGGUAAAGGCCUACCAAGCCGACGAUCUGUAGCUGGUCUGAGAGGAUGAUCGGCCACACUGGGACUGAGACACGGCACAGACUCCUACGGGAGGCAGCAGUGGGGAAUUUUGGACAAUGGACGCAAGUCUGAUCCAGCCAUUCCGCGUGCAGGAUGAAGGCCCGCGGGUUGUAAACUGCUUUUGUACAGAACGAAAAGGCUCUGGUUAAUACCUGGGGCUAAUGACGGUACUGUAAGAAUAAGCACCGGCUAACUACGUGCCAGCCGCCGCGGUAA